RNAcentral lists this ribosomal RNA (606 nucleotides) under uncultured bacterium. RNAcentral's name for it is "bacterial SSU rRNA". It matches the Rfam family "Bacterial small subunit ribosomal RNA", at positions 619 to 1213 of the family's 1533-position model. The record is from RNAcentral.
UUUCGCACCGGAUACUGGCAAGCUAGAGUGCAGAAGAGGCAAGGGGAAUUCCCAGUGUAGCGGUGAAAUGCGUAGAUAUUGGGAGGAACACCGGUGGCGUAAGCGCCUUGCUGGGCUGUUACUGACGCUGAGGAACGAAAGCCGGGGGAGCGAAUGGGAUUAGAUACCCCAGUAGUCCCGGCCCGUAAACGAUGGAUACUAGGUGUUGCGGGUAUCGACCCCUGCAGUGCCGCAGCUAACGCGAUAAGUAUCCCGCCUGGGGAGUACGCACGCAAGUGUGAAACUCAAAGGAAUUGACGGGGGCCCGCACAAGCGGUGGAACAUGUGGUUUAAUUCGAUGCAACGCGAAGAACCUUACCAGGGCUUGACAUCUACAGAAUCUUGCGGAAACGUGAGAGUGCCUUUCGGGGAACUGUAAGACAGGUGGUGCACGGUUGUCGUCAGCUCGUGUCGUGAGAUGUUGGGUUAAGUCCCGCAACGAGCGCAACCCUUGUUGUUAGUUGCUGGCAAGAGCAUGCUCUUGUCGAGCUCUCUAGCGAAACUGCCGGUGAUAAACCGGAGGAAGGUGGGGAAGACGUCAAAUCAUCAUGCCCGUUGUUUUACGGU